Molecule: ribosomal RNA, 298 nt
Filed under: uncultured bacterium
Lineage: Bacteria
Description: partial 16S ribosomal RNA
Rfam family: Bacterial small subunit ribosomal RNA
Source: RNAcentral
UUUCCUACGGGGGGCAGCAGUGAGGAAUAUUGGUCAAUGGUCGGGAGACUGAACCAGCCAAGCCGCGUGAGGGAGGAAGGUACAGAGUAUCGUAAACCUCUUUUGUCAAGGGACAAAAUCAGGCUCGAGAGCCUGACCGAGGGUACUUGAAGAAAAAGCAUCGGCUAACUCCGUGCCAGCAGCCGCGGUAAUACGGAGGAUGCGAGCGUUAUCCGGAUUUAUUGGGUUUAAAGGGUGCGUAGUCGGGCUGUUAAGUCAGCGGUAAAAGCCCGGGGCUCAACCCCGGCGAGCCGUUGAA